GACGAACGCUGGCGGCGUGCUUAACACAUGCAAGUCGAACGGAAAGGCCUGCUUUCCCUUGUGGAUUGCGGGUACUCGAGUGGCGAACGGGUGAGUAACACGUGAGUGAUCUGCCCCCAACUUGGGUAUAAGCCUGGGAAACUGGGUCUAAUUCCCGAUAGGACUGCAGGGUGGUGCCUGUGGUGGAAAACGAUUUUCUAGUGGUUGGGGAUGAGCUCGCGGCCUAUCAGCUUGUUGGUGGGGUAAUGGCCUACCAAGGCGGCGACGGGUAGCCGGACUGGGAGGGUGGACGGCCACAUUGGGACUGAGAUACGGCCCAGACUCCUACGGGAGGCAGCAGUGGGGAAUAUUGCACAAUGGGCGGAAGCCUGAUGCAGCGACGCCGCGUGGGGGAUGACGGCCUUCGGGUUGUAAACUCCUUUCGACCGCGAGGAAGCCACCUGGUUGGAAGGGUGGUGACGGUAGUGGUAGAAGAAGCACCGGCUAACUACGUG
This 494-nucleotide ribosomal RNA is filed under the name uncultured bacterium. Its description in RNAcentral is "partial 16S ribosomal RNA". It matches the Rfam family "Bacterial small subunit ribosomal RNA", at positions 28 to 507 of the family's 1533-position model. The record is from RNAcentral.